ACUUCCCCUUGAGCUCCAAGACAUAAACUUUUAGGAAAGGAAGGCGCCACACGCAGAAGCCCAAAGUUACUCUCUUCACAAUUUAAUAAGUCCUUGGGUUCGGUGAAAGAUGUCCUGGAGAUACACAGAUUCGGUGAACCGUAUAGAAGAAAGAAAAUACGUUCCCUUUCUCGUUUGGGUAACCAAACAAUGGACCAACUAGCAGCGCCUCCAAAUCAUCCCGGUGCAUGGAGGGUCCUUUAAGCUAAAACACCUGCAAAGCUGGGCGGCUUCUCCCUCUGCCCUUCCCAUCCCCAAAACUGGACCAGGUCUGGUGUCUCCUGCACUGUUAACCCAAGGGCCACUCGGACUCCGCCAGGGACCAGUUGCUGAGGCCAAGGCCACCGCGCUGGGAACUGAACCAGUAGGUACAAUCACCGCCAUGUUGACCACCUCCUGCGACCCCUCGACCCGCUGCAGCAGGAUCGGCUUGCGGGUCAGUGGCUGGGGCUGGAUCUCCGCCGCCAUCGGAGGGGGCGCGCCCGGGGAGCAGCCGAACGCGCCGGGGGACUUGGCUGAAGAGAACGCUCAGGCUUGCGCUCAGGAUCGGGCUGCGAAGCGGAGCGGGCCUUUGGGAGCCAGCGACCAUAGCCCUGCCGCCUGUCCAGGGAAUGUGCCCGCUCUGGCUUCCAAAACCAACACCGCCGCCACACUAGCCGCAAGCCGGCGCCACCUAAGAGAGUAGGGGGCGGGGAGCAGGGGGCGGGGCGGGGCGGGGCCCUGUCGCAAGGCGGCCAACCCACUUCCGGAGGAUGGGCACUAGCAGCCAAUGCGCGUGCGUCAGUCCAGGAGCCACUUCCGCCCCGCCGCCCGUAAGUAACCGAGGCCCGCAGUGCUGUCAGGACGCAUGCGCCCCGCAGUCCUUUACUUUCCCUUCCACACCCAAAGCUUUGUCCCCUCCCUCAUAAAAAAAAAAAUCUGUGAAUGCGCGUGCCCAGAGCCCCACCCUCUCCAGACUCUGGGGGCGGGGAAAAGCCUACGUCAGCCGCACCGGAAAAGCGCCUGCAGGAAGGAUAGAGGCUAAACUAGUUGGGACGUGAGUGUGCAUGCGCGCAGAUGACUCACCGCUAAGUUUUAACAAUAACACACCGGAGAGGGCGCUGUGCUGUCGGCCGUAGAGAAACGGCUCUUGCCAGCACCGCGUGGACUCUUGGGGGUUGUAGUUUCCUCCAUCCUCGACGUCCUUGUUCUAGAAAGCAGUAACGCCCACUUCUCAGCCCAGGAGAGAUGUGGGCAAACGAAACUCUGCGCCUUCUGUGGGUUAUUGCCCAAGUCAGAGGCAGAAAUAGUGUAGUAUCUAAGAGGGAGAACUAAAGAGCAAGCCCUGCUGAGCAAGACUUCUCUCGGGGUCACACUGCCACCGGUUUUAGUGAGAUAUGAGGGUAGAGGAAGAAGAGACUCUCAUACAAGCUUCUUUGAGGGAGUUUAGAGAUCAUGGUAUCAAUCUUCUCUUUGUAUUAUGAAUAAAGGACUCACACUUGAACCUAA
Mus musculus (house mouse) is the source of this 1527-nucleotide long non-coding RNA. RefSeq annotates it as predicted gene, 26536. The transcript has 2 exons. Lineage: Eukaryota; Metazoa; Chordata; Mammalia; Rodentia; Muridae. The record is from RefSeq and is marked validated.